This 76-nucleotide transfer RNA is filed under the name bacterium 1XD42-1. RNAcentral describes it as "tRNA-Ala". It matches the Rfam family "tRNA". From Rfam's summary of the family: Transfer RNA (tRNA) molecules are approximately 80 nucleotides in length. Their secondary structure includes four short double-helical elements and three loops (D, anti-codon, and T loops). RNAcentral also lists the same sequence under 1 other name. The record is from RNAcentral.
GGGCCUGUAGCUCAGUGGGGAGAGUAUUCGGUUCGCAUCCGAAAGGUCGAGAGUUCAAAUCUCUUCAGGUCCACCA